This 459-nucleotide ribosomal RNA is filed under the name uncultured bacterium. RNAcentral describes it as "partial 16S ribosomal RNA". It matches the Rfam family "Bacterial small subunit ribosomal RNA", at positions 338 to 792 of the family's 1533-position model. The record is from RNAcentral.
CCUACGGGCGACAGCAGUGAGGAAUAUUGGUCAAUGGGCGCGAGCCUGAACCAGCCAAGUAGCGUGAAGGAUGACUGCCCUCCGGGUUGUAAACUUCUUUUGUCGAGGAGUAUAGUUCAGCAUGUGUGCCUUUUUCUAUGUACUUUAUGACUAAUGAUAGGCUCACUCCGUGCCAGACGCCGCGCUAAUAUGGUGGAUCCGAGGAUUAUCCGGAUUUAUUGGGGUAAACGGGACCGUAGAGGGGUUGUUAAGUCAGGUGUGAAAGCUUGCGGCUCAACCGGAAAAUUGCAAUUGAUACUGGCAGUAGUGAGGACAGUGGAGGGAGUAGGAAUUCGUGGUGUAGCGGUGAAAUGCUUAGAUAUCACGAAGAACUCCGAGGGCGAGGGCAGCUUACGAAACAGCCACUGACAGGGAGGCUCGAAAGUGUGGGUAUCAAACAGGAUUAGAACCCCUGUAGUA